CUGUAAACAAGUCAAAAUAACACCUGGCAUUUAGCCAGGGGAAUGUUAGAGUUUGUAAACAAGUCUGGAUGGUGCCUGGCAAAAUGCCAGAGGGAGUGGUUUGAGAAGUAACAAAAACAAGCCAUUAAGUGUGGAGAUUCCUUAUUGGUUGACUGAUGUAUCUAGUUUAUGCUAAUUAGAUAAGCUGUGUGGAAUGUAUAAAUACUGCUCCUGUCCUGCAAUAAAC
Molecule: long non-coding RNA, 226 nt
Filed under: Marmota monax (woodchuck)
Lineage: Eukaryota; Metazoa; Chordata; Mammalia; Rodentia; Sciuridae
Source: RNAcentral